Molecule: non-coding RNA, 619 nt
Organism: Elaeis guineensis (African oil palm)
Lineage: Eukaryota; Viridiplantae; Streptophyta; Magnoliopsida; Arecales; Arecaceae
Source: RefSeq, a predicted model, not a curated record
GUAGUGGUCCUUCUGCCAUUCUCUCAAGAGGUUCUUCAAGGCGCCCUGGGAGAUCACCGGGCCCUGCGCCGACCCCGAGCACCGGAUUGCCCUCCCCAAAGCCACCGAGUACCGCCGGUUCUCCCCGGCCACCGCUCCGGCCAAGGCCUGCGUCCCCACCGCCGACCCCGGAACAGUCUUCGACAUUAAGUACAACAUCCGCGACCGCCGCCGCGACCGGUCCCUCGUCCGCCGGACAGUGCUGAAGAAGGCCGACGUAGAGAAGAUGAUGACCAAGAUGACCUUUGGCGCUGCCGACUUCCCGCCGGUGUACGUCACUGAGCGGGUCCAGGAGGACGACAAUGCUAGGGGAGGCGGGUACCAGAAAUAGGUCAAAGCUGUCAGAUUCUAUGCAGGUAAACAGGUGUUUUGUGCUCAUGGGUUUAUCAGAAGAAGUGCUUUCUCUUCCUGAUAUUUUCUAUCUGCCUUUAGUAAUGUGCCUAAGACCCUUUCAUUUUAUUUGCUUUUCAAAGCAGCUGGUGGAUGGUGGAAAAAUAAAUAAUGUCGCUCUUGUAAACAUCUCCAAUUGUUGUAAAGAUUCCAUUAUUUUAUAGCAUGCUCUAAAACUUCAUUAAAAUUU